UGGGGAAUAUUGCGCAAUGGGGGGAACCCUGACGCAGCCAUGCCGCGUGAAUGAAGAAGGCCUUCGGGUUGUAAAGUUCUUUCGGUAUUGAGGAAGGUUGAUGUGUUAAUAGCACAUCAAAUUGACGUUAAAUACAGAAGAAGCACCGGCUAACUCCGUGCCAGCAGCCGCGGUAAUACGGAGGGUGCGAGCGUUAAUCGGAAUAACUGGGCGUAAAGGGCACGCAGGCGGUUAUUUAAGUGAGGUGUGAAAGCCCUGGGCUUAACCUAGGAAUUGCAUUUCAGACUGGGUAACUAGAGUACUUUAGGGAGGGGUAGAAUUCCACGUGUAGCGGUGAAAUGCGUAGAGAUGUGGAGGAAUACCGAAGGCGAAGGCAGCCCCUUGGGAAUGUACUGACGCUCAUGUGCGAAAGCGUGGGGAGCAAACAGGAUUAGAUACCCUGGUAGUCCACGCUGUAAACNCUGUCGAUUUGGGGAUUGGGCUUAGAGCUUGGUGCCCGUAGCUAACGUGAUAAAUCGACCGCCUGGGGAGUACGGCCGCAGGUUA
RNAcentral lists this ribosomal RNA (546 nucleotides) under uncultured bacterium. RNAcentral's name for it is "bacterial SSU rRNA". It matches the Rfam family "Bacterial small subunit ribosomal RNA", at positions 355 to 896 of the family's 1533-position model. The record is from RNAcentral.